CAGGGAGUAGUUUAAUAAAAAUAUUAAUUUUGGAGAUUAAUGAUAAAAUGAAAAUUUUUUCCCUGA
This 66-nucleotide transfer RNA is filed under the name Acilius sulcatus. RNAcentral's name for it is "tRNA-Pro". Lineage: Eukaryota; Metazoa; Arthropoda; Insecta; Coleoptera; Dytiscidae. The record is from RNAcentral.